Molecule: ribosomal RNA, 839 nt
Filed under: uncultured archaeon
Lineage: Archaea
Description: bacterial SSU rRNA
Rfam family: Archaeal small subunit ribosomal RNA
Source: RNAcentral
AGGUUACUGCUAUCGGUGUUCGCCUAAGCCAUGCGAGUCAUAUGUUCUUCGUGAACAUGGCGUACUGCUCAGUAACACGUGGAUAACCUGCCCUUGGGUCCGGCAUAACCCCGGGAAACUGGGGAUAAUUCCGGAUAACGCAUAUAUGCUGGAAUGCUUUCUGCGUAAAAUGGAUUCGUCUGCCCAAGGAUGGGUCUGCGGCCUAUCAGGUAGUAGUGGGUGUAAUGUACCUACUAGCCGACGACGGGUACGGGUUGUGAGAGCAAGAGCCCGGAGAUGGAUUCUGAGACAUGAAUCCAGGCCCUACGGGGCGCAGCAGGCGCGAAAACUUUACAAUGCGGGAGACCGUGAUAAGGGGACACCGAGUGCCAGCAUCAUAUGCUGGCUGUCCGGGUGUGUAAAAUACACCCGUUAGCAAGGGCCGGGCAAGACCGGUGCCAGCCGCCGCGGUAACACCGGCGGCCCGAGUGGUGAUCGUGAUUAUUGGGUCUAAAGGGUCCGUAGCCGGUUUGGUCAGUCCUCCGGGAAAUCUGAUAGCUCAACUAUUAGGCUUUCGGGGGAUACUGCCAGGCUUGGAACCGGGAGAGGUAAGAGGUACUACAGGGGUAGGAGUGAAAUCUUGUAAUCCCUGUGGGACCACCUGUGGCGAAGGCGUCUUACCAGAACGGGUUCGACGGUGAGGGACGAAAGCUGGGGGCACGAACCGGAUUAGAUACCCGGGUAGUCCCAGCCGUAAACGAUGCUCGCUAGGUGUCAGGCAUGGCGCGACCGUGUCUGGUGCCGCAGGGAAGCCGUGAAGCGAGCCACCUGGGAAGUGCGGCCGCAAGGCUGAAACUUAA